GGAAUCUUCCACAAUGGGCGCAAGCCUGAUGGAGCAACACCGCGUGAGUGAAGAAGGGUUUCGGCUCGUAAAGCUCUGUUGUUAGAGAAGAACGUGCGUGAGAGUACCUGUUCACGCAGUGACGGUAUCUAACCAGAAAGUCACGGCUAACUACGUGCCAGCAGCCGCGGUAAUACGUAGGUGGCAAGCGUUAUCCGGAUUUAUUGGGCGUAAAGCGAGCGCAGGCGGUUUGAUAAGUCUGAUGUGAAAGCCUUUGGCUUAACCAAAGAAGUGCAUCGGAAACUGUCAGACUUGAGUGCAGAAGAGGACAGUGGAACUCCAUGUGUAGCGGUAAAAUGCGUAAAUAUAUGGAAGAACACCAGUGGCGAAGGCGGCUUGCUAGGUCAAUACUGACAUUGAGGCACGAAAGCGUGGGGAGCAAACA
RNAcentral lists this ribosomal RNA (424 nucleotides) under uncultured Lactobacillus sp. Its description in RNAcentral is "bacterial SSU rRNA". It matches the Rfam family "Bacterial small subunit ribosomal RNA", at positions 358 to 774 of the family's 1533-position model. The record is from RNAcentral. Lineage: Bacteria; Bacillati; Bacillota; Bacilli; Lactobacillales; Lactobacillaceae.